Molecule: ribosomal RNA, 440 nt
Filed under: uncultured bacterium
Lineage: Bacteria
Description: partial 16S ribosomal RNA
Rfam family: Bacterial small subunit ribosomal RNA
Source: RNAcentral
CCUACGGGAGGCAGCAGUGGGGAAUAUUGCACAAUGGGGGAAACCCUGCUGCAGCGACGCCGCGUGAGUGAAGAAGUAAUUCGUUAUGUAAAGCUCUAUCAGCAGGGAAGAAAAUGACGGUACCUGAGUAAGAAGCCCCGACUAACUACGUGCCAGCAGCCGCGGUCAUACGUAGGGGGCAAGCGUUAUCCGGAUUUACUGGGUGUAAAGGGAGCGUAGACGGCAGUGCAAGUCUGGAGUGAAAGGCGGGGGCUCAACACCCGGACUGCUCUGGAAACUGUACGGCUGGAGUGCAGGAGAGGUAAGUGGAAUUCCUAGUGUAGCGGUGAAAUGCGUAGAGAUUAGGAGGAACACCAGUGGCGAAGGCGGCUUACUGGACUGUAACUGACGUUGAGGCUCGAAAGCGUGGGGAGCAAACAGGAUUAGAUACCCCAGUAGUC